GGGGAAGUACUGUCAGGGGAGAAGCAUGUCAUGUAGCAGCCUUACAGUCUAAUUUUGUUUCAUUUUUACUGCUCUUUCAUAGCUUGUAUAAUCCUCCAGACCAUGAACUCAUCUUAAGACCAAGUGGAUAAAAGUGAACAUGAGGAUGACCAUGCAUGAAUGUUGGGACAGUUACACAGGACCCUUUGUCUGCAACAGAAAGCAGCACAUGAGGAAUUUGCACGAGCUCAGCGAGACCCAUUUGAAUGCAGCCUGGAACAUGUGGGACUUACAGUGAGGACGGCAGAGGAGAUACUUGCGUACCAAUGUUUUGUAGAGAGCCACAAAAAGUUUCUCCUCUGCCGUCCUUUCUCGUUUGUCUAUCGCACAGACACACCCAAGUAGGCGCAGUUUCACAGCAGCCCUCGGACCUACCUUGAGGACACUGACAAAACAAAUCAACAUUUAAAACUGACUUACUGAUUCUUUGUGAUCAAAAGGAGAAGAAGCCGCCUACAGGGAAACCACAGAGAACAUUUAACACGGUCCGUUCAUCAAAGGUUUAAGACUACAAAGGAGCUCAUUUGCUGACUGGGGAGAUGGAUGUGGAGAUAAAGUGGCUGAGGCGGAGACCCGAAUGAGAGAGGACAGCUACGGAGUGAAAGGGGGAGAGAAGGAGGAUGACAUGCAGCAAAGGGCCGUGGAUUAGAAUUGAGCCUACAGCCACUGCAGCAAGGACACAGCCUUUGUACAUGGGCUGCUUUACGAGGCUUCCAUUAAUGAAGAUCUGACUCCCUUUCUGUUCUCUCUCUACCACAACUGUCAGCCUCAUCCCAGACGAGGAUGACAGAGAAUACAGAGCACUGAUCCAGGGCUGGAAUCCAGUUCAGUGCAGGAAAACCCAAAAAGCUGGUGGUCUUCGUGACGGCUGACAGUAGGAGACUUAACACACUGAUAGCUCUGUCCUGGGAUGCUCCCUCGACCUGGUGGAGGUGGUGGGAGAAAGGAGAAUGAAAGCCAAGCCAACCUCUGUUAUAGACAACAUGUCCUACCCCAUGCAGGACACUGACAGCACCGGGCAGCUCCUUCACUGACAGGAGAGAUAAUGCAGAUCCUUCCUUCCUGCUGCUGUCAGACGACACAACCAACACUGCUCCCAGUGGACCACACAUACGAAAACUGUGGACAAUCACUCAUGUGCAAAAUCUGUAUCUGUAUAUACCAACUGUGAAUUAUCUAUACUUGGUGCAUGCAAUAAUGUAAAUACUGCCACUGUUUAUCAUUAUAUGUUGCUUUUAAUUUGUGCUGCUUACAAUGAAUCACUCAGGUGCAGAAUCAGUAUUGUUAAACUGUGCAAUAUCUAUAUUUCCAUCCGGUCAAUGAUGUAAAAUCAGCCACAGUCCGUCUCUUUAUUAUAUUCAGCUUCUUUUUGAUGCUUCCUUAUUCUAUUGCUUUGUGUUUUAUACUGUUUGCUGAUCACACUGCUCUGUUUUUGUACACUUUACUUAUUUAACGUACUUAUAUACUGCUUUGUAUUUUUUUCUGAUGCUUCCUGUUUGCACUCUGUCCCUUUGCUGCAAAUUUCCCCGCUGUGGGACAAAUUAAGGAUUAUCUUAUCUGAUUAUCUGUCUGAACAAAUCAUGCAGCACUCUUAUUGCAGCUUCAUUGAGAGGGGGCACAUGUCUCCCACUACUUGUUCUCCCAUCCAUCCUCUCCACCCCUGCCCUUUAACAUCACACAUUACUUUAGCCUUUAAAUAAAUCAGACUGUACAACACUUGUCAAGGUAGGGACGAGCUUGAUUUAUAUUUUCUGGAAAGCCAGUAUUUUUAAGUGAGAAGAUUUUCAUCUGAAGGCAAUAGUUGAUUACAUUUAGUGGCUUUGUUUACACGCCUGCAGUAACACCAUAACUGCUGAGAGUCUGAGUAAGACUAAAUGUGCUAAUUAUCCUCUUACGUUUGACAUGUUGUCCUUGCAAGUUUUCCAACAAACUGACACACAAAACAUGAGCUGCUGUAAUUAAACGCAUGAGCAACUUGCUCACAAUUAAAUUACUGUGAUUUGACCAGUCUUAACCUGUCUGCACGUUCGUCAGAGUGCGCCAGAUACUGGAGGUUACUGUGAUAACACUGAACUCCAGCUGAUGCAAUAAUCACAGUUGUAUAAUCAGUGUGAGGUUUAUGUGCGUCCUGCGAGCUGCUGGGAGAGGUUUGCCUACAGGGUUGCCAGGUUUGCCAGAAAGGGAUUUCUUGGUUAAGGUUAGGAAAAAAUUGUGGUUUGGGCUAAAAUGAACAAAUUUUUCUGGCAGAAAGCCCUCCAGGAAAACUUCUCCCAUGUGUAUCCUCCAACCACAUUUUUUCCCUUGUAACCUUGAUAAAAGUCCCAGUUUUACUCUCUUAAUGCAAUGUCACUCCACCCUCAUCUGUACUUUCUCUAAAUGCUUCGUCAGCUCCUGUUAGCAGCUGCUUUAUAGCUCUUGGCAUCGCUUCUGUUGCCAGGCAGUCUCUGUCUGUGAUGUAUAAAGCAUCAAACGCACAUUUACAUACACAUUCACACCCAUGCUUUACACACAGUGACGUAUGAGCUUCUGGUGUUGACACUAGCAUUUCUGCCCUGUCUGACGCCAUGACACUUAUAUUAUUGAUCAUUAGGACCCUGUGAUGAAUGAAUGGACUCCACUUUAGCUAAUUAAUCUGCGCUGCUGCAGCUGCACUCACUGUCAGUCAGCUGGCAUUAGAGUGUCGGCUGAACAGCUAAAAUCUAAACAUAGAUGAGAGAGGAUAACUGAAGGAGAAAAGAAGAGUGCGGACCAGUUGCCAGAAGAAAGUGGUGGCGUUUCUGCAAACCACGAAUAUAUUAUAUUUGCACAUAAGUACAGAUUCUCAGGUGAACAGUCAGUCUGUUUGGAAGCUGAUUCCUGAAGGAAAAAAUUAAAAGCGAUAAGGAACAAAGCCAAAGGGUCUCUGGACUGAUAGCUCAGGCUGUUAGACAACUGGUUGGAGGACCUAAGACUGUGGGUUUGAUCCUUAUCAAGGCUAAGUGAAUUGAAUUUUAAAGGCUGCU
Long non-coding RNA from Epinephelus moara (kelp grouper), 3041 nucleotides. RefSeq lists it as uncharacterized. The transcript has 7 exons. The record is from RefSeq and is a predicted model, not a curated record. Lineage: Eukaryota; Metazoa; Chordata; Actinopteri; Perciformes; Serranidae.